Molecule: ribosomal RNA, 655 nt
Filed under: Rhodobacteraceae bacterium 10H5
Lineage: Bacteria; Pseudomonadati; Pseudomonadota; Alphaproteobacteria; Rhodobacterales; Paracoccaceae
Description: bacterial SSU rRNA
Rfam family: Bacterial small subunit ribosomal RNA
Source: RNAcentral
AACGAACGCUGGCGGCAGGCCUAACACAUGCAAGUCGAACGGGAUCUUCGGAUCUAGUGGCGGACGGGUUAGUAACGCGUGGGAACGUACCCUUUUCUACGGAAUAGCCUCGGGAAACUGAGAGUAAUACCGUAUACGCCCUUCGGGGGAAAGAUUUAUCGGAGAAGGAUCGGCCCGCGUAAGAUUAGAUAGUUGGUGGGGUAAUGGCCUACCAAGUCUACGAUCUUUAGCUGGUUUGAGAGGAUGAUCAGCAACACUGGGACUGAGACACGGCCCAGACUCCUACGGGAGGCAGCAGUGGGGAAUCUUAGACAAUGGGGGAAACCCUGAUCUAGCCAUGCCGCGUGAGUGACGAAGGCCUUAGGGUCGUAAAGCUCUUUCGCUGGGGAAGAUAAUGACUGUACCCAGUAAAGAAACCCCGGCUAACUCCGUGCCAGCAGCCGCGGUAAUACGGAGGGGGUUAGCGUUGUUCGGAAUUACUGGGCGUAAAGCGCGCGUAGGCGGACUGGAAAGUUGGGGGUGAAAUCCCGGGGCUCAACCCCGGAACGGCCUCCAAAACUAUCAGUCUAGAGUUCGAGAGAGGUGAGUGGAAUUCCGAGUGUAGAGGUGAAAUUCGUAGAUAUUCGGAGGAACACCAGUGGCGAAGGCGGCUCAC